This 1097-nucleotide ribosomal RNA is filed under the name uncultured Verrucomicrobiota bacterium. Its description in RNAcentral is "bacterial SSU rRNA". It matches the Rfam family "Bacterial small subunit ribosomal RNA", at positions 9 to 1099 of the family's 1533-position model. Lineage: Bacteria; Pseudomonadati; Verrucomicrobiota. The record is from RNAcentral.
GAGUUUGAUCCUGGCUCAGAACGAACGCUGGCGGCGUGGAUAAGACAUGCAAGUCGAACGGGAGAUUUGAAGCUUGCUUUGGAUCUCUAGUGGCGAACGGGUGAGUAACACGUGAGCAACCUGCCCAGAAGACGGGGAUAGCCCGGGGAAACUCGGAUUAAUACCCGAUGUGAUAGCAGUAUUAAAGGUGGCUUCGGCUGCCGCUUCUGGAUGGGCUCGCGGCCUAUCAGCUAGUUGGUGAGGUAAUGGCCCACCAAGGCGACGACGGGUAGCUGGUCUGAGAGGAUGACCAGCCACACUGGAACUGAGACACGGUCCAGACACCUACGGGUGGCAGCAGUCGAGAAUCAUUCACAAUGGGCGAAAGCCUGAUGGUGCGACGCCGCGUGGAGGAUGACGGUCUUCGGAUUGUAAACUCCUGUCAUCAGGGAGUAACGCUCUGGCGUUAAUAGCGUCAUGAGCUUGAUAGUACCUGAAGAGGAAGGGGCGGCUAACUCCGUGCCAGCAGCCGCGGUAACACGGAGGCCCCGAGCGUUGUUCGGAAUUACUGGGCGUAAAGAGUGCGUAGGCGGCGAGGCAAGUCAGAUGUGAAAGCCCGGGGCUCAACCUCGGAACUGCAUCCGAUACUGCCUUGCUUGAGGGUUGGAGAGGAGACUGGAAUUCACGGUGUAGCAGUGAAAUGCGUGGAUAUCGUGAGGAAGACCAAUGGCGAAGGCAGGUCUCUGGACAACUCCUGACGCUGAGGCACGAAGGCCAGGGGAGCGAAAAGGAUUAGAUACCCUUGUAGUCCUGGCAGUAAACGGUGCACGCUUGGUGUGGGAAGGUUCGACCCUUUCCGUGCCGUAGCAAACGUGUUAAGCGUGCCGCCUGGGGAGUACGGCCGCAAGGUUAAAACUCAAAGAAAUUGACGGGGACCCGCACAAGCGGUGGAGUAUGUGGCUUAAUUCGAUGCAACGCGAAGAACCUUACCUAGGUUUGACAUGCAUCUCUAAGCUUAUGAAAGUAAGUGAGCGUAGCAAUACGCAAUUUGCACAGGUGCUGCAUGGCUGUCGUCAGCUCGUGUCGUGAGAUGUUGGGUUAAGUCCCGCAACGAGCGC